This 72-nucleotide transfer RNA is filed under the name Nanoarchaeum equitans Kin4-M. RNAcentral's name for it is "tRNA-Gly (GCC) (tRNA-Gly-GCC-1-1)". It matches the Rfam family "tRNA". From Rfam's summary of the family: Transfer RNA (tRNA) molecules are approximately 80 nucleotides in length. Their secondary structure includes four short double-helical elements and three loops (D, anti-codon, and T loops). The record is from Rfam by way of RNAcentral. Lineage: Archaea; Nanobdellati; Nanobdellota; Candidatus Nanoarchaeia; Nanoarchaeales; Nanoarchaeaceae.
GCGCCCGUAGUCUAGGGGAAGGACGCCGGCCUGCCAAGCCGGAGGUCCCGGGUUCGAAUCCCGGCGGGCGCA